Brassica rapa (field mustard) is the source of this 5626-nucleotide RNA transcript. RefSeq lists it as uncharacterized. Lineage: Eukaryota; Viridiplantae; Streptophyta; Magnoliopsida; Brassicales; Brassicaceae. The record is from RefSeq and is a predicted model, not a curated record.
CACACAACUCUCUUCCUCUCGAACCUGAUGGCGUUUAGACUCUGCUCCUCAUUCAGCCACCAAUUACUAUUUCGAAGAUGACGAUAAGGAACAUGAGCCAUUCGUCUGUCUGCCAAUUCAGUGGAGCGACAAGGAGAAAGUGGAGGGAAGUGCAGUUGGUUUAUACUUGAGUGGAACCUCCGACCAUCGUCAAAGGUUCCUCUCAAGUACAAACCAGCUGCACUUCCGUCCACUUUCUCCUUGUCGUUCCACUGAAUUGGCAGACAGACGAACGACACAGGUUCCUUAUCGUCGUCUUAGAAAUAGUAAAUGGUGGGUUAACAAUGCAAUUACGACGAAACCGACGAAACCAAAUUUCGUCGUAAACGCCAUGUAAUAUUACGACGCAAGUACGUCGAAAAGAAAACUUUACAUCGACAUUACAACGAAUCAUGUUACCGUUGUAUUUAGGUGAAAAACUUAUCGAAGUUCGUUGUAAAGUCGUUGUAAAAAAACCAUGUAAAAUCCGUGUAAAAGUUUCCUUGUAAAAUCGUUGUUAUAUUUCAACUACCCAACUCGAAAAUUUCUCUAUAUAUAUGGCAUUUCCCACAAAUCUCUUCCUCACAACACACAACUCUCUUCCUCACAAGACCCAAACGGAAAAAAAAAUUUUUAAAAAAAAUAGAAGAAAAAAUGGUCGGUGGCGGUAGUAUUUACGAGUUACGAAGUUGGAUGUAUUUGCACAAAGAUUCCAACGGGAGAGUGACGAAUGCAUUUCUGAACGGGCUAGAGACAUUCAUGCACCAGGCGGGCUGUACACCGAUCACGCAGGAAAGCGGUAAGAUGUUCUGCCCCUGUUCAAAAUGCAAGAAUUCGAAAUUUGCACGUAGUGAAACUGUAUGGAAUCAUUUAGUAAACAGAGGAUUUACACCACAGUACUACAUUUGGUAUCAACAUGGAGAGGGUUAUGGGGGAAAUGAAGCUAGUAGUAGUAAUGCUAAUUUUGAGGAUGCUCAUCAUAAUGAAGAACCAAAUCAUGUGCAUAAUGAAUAUAAUUAUCAUCAAGAGGAGCAGAUGGUAGAUCAUGAUAGGGUUCAAGAUAUGAUUAGUGAUGCAUUUUUAGAAACAACUACAACAAUAGCUGAUGGAACUGGAAAUGUAGAAGAACCUAAUUUGGAUGCAAAAAGGUUUUAUGAAAUGCUAGAUGCUGCAAAUCAACCAAUCUACACUGGUUGUAGAGAAGGUCUCUCUAAAUUGUCUCUAGCAGCUAGGAUGAUGGAUAUUAAAACGGAUCAUAAUUUACCUGAGAAUUGCAUGGAUGCAUGGGCGGAGUUGUUUAAAGAGUAUUUGCCAGAAGACAACGUGUCUGCUGAAUCUUAUUAUGAGAUUCAGAAAUUGGUUUAUAGUCUUGGGUUACCCUCGGAGAUGAUUGAUGUUUGCAUCGACAACUGCAUGAUCUACUGGAAGGAAGAUGACAAGUUAGAAGAGUGUCGAUUCUGUAAAAAACCACGAUUCAAACCGCAAGGCCGUGGGAGGAAUAGGGUACCGUACCAAAGGAUGUGGUACCUACCAAUUACAAACAGAUUGAAAAGAUUAUAUCAAUCUGAGAGGACUGCUGCGUCGAUGAGGUGGCAUGCCGAACAUGUCCAGAGAGAUGGUGAGGUUGCACAUCCAUCAGACGCAAGAGCGUGGAAACAUUUCAACAAGGUACACGGAGCUUUUGCUACAAAUAUUCGGAAUGUCUAUCUUGGGUUAUGCACCGAUGGAUUUAGUCCAUUUGGAAUGUCUGGUAGACAAUAUUCUUUGUGGCCAGUCAUUCUUACGCCGUAUAAUUUACCGCCGGAUAUGUGCAUGGAACAAGAAUUUCUAUUUUUGGCCAUAUUAAUCCCAAGGCCGAAGCAUUCAAAACAGUCUCUUGAUGUUUUUCAUCAACCUUUGAUAGAAGAGCUAAAGCAAUUGUCGUCAGAAGGGGUGAGGACGUACGAUUGUUCCUUGAAAAACAAUUUUACGAUGCGAGCAGUUCUAAUGUGGACGAUAAGUGAUUUCCCUGCUUAUGGGAUGUUGUCUGGCUGGACAAUACAUGGAAGAUUAUCUUGUCCGUAUUGUCUUGGAUCCACAGAUGCUUUUCAACUGAAGAAUGGUAGGAAGAGUUGUUGGUUUGAUUGUCAUCGUCGCUUUCUUCUACUUGCCCAUCCGUACAGAAGAAAUAAGACAUUGUUUCGACACAAAAAAAUUGUCAGAGACAGUCCUCCUCCAUAUCUCAACGGCCAGCAGAUCGAAGCGGACAUUGAUUAUUACGGAGCUCAGGAAACAGUUAAGGUUGGAGGAAAUUGACAUGUUCCUGGAAAUAUGCCUGAUGGGUAUGGUGUAUCUCACAAUUGGCAUAAGAAGAGUAUAUUUUGGGAGCUACCCUAUUGGAAGGAUCUUCUCUUACGCCACAAUCUGGAUGUCAUGCAUAUCGAGAAGAACUUUUUUGAGAACAUCAUGAAUACAUUUCUUAACGUCCCUGAGAAGACAAAAGAUAACAAAAAGUCAAGGAUGGACUUACCUAAUAUUUGCUCAAGAAGUGAGUUACAUAUCAAGAGCAAUGGAAACGUUUCUGUUCCCAUCUUCCGGUUGUCAUCAGCAGCCAAAACAACCUUGUUUGACUGGGUUGCAUCGGAAGUUAAGUUUCCUGAUGGUUAUGUUUCAAAUAUGUCAAGAUGUAUUGAACGAGGUCAAAAGUUCUCCGGAAUGAAAAGUCAUGAUUGUCAUGUGUUUAUGCAACGACUGCUUCCAUUUGCUUUUGCCGAGCUCCUUCCAGCAAAUGUCCACGAAGCACUUGCAGCCAUCGGAGCAUUUUUCAGAGAUCUUAGCACACGUACGUUCAAAGAAGAAGUCAUCGAACAACUUCAUCAGAACAUUCCGAUCAUAUUGUGCAACCUGGAGAAGAUAUUUCCUCCUUCAUUUUUUGACGUCAUGGAGCAUCUAGUUGUCUACCUACCGUAUGAAGCAUUGCUUCGUGGACCUGUUCACAACGGAUGGAUGUAUCCGUAUGAGCGACAGAUAAAACAUUUGAAGGGGAAAGCAAGAAAUCUUGCAAAGGUAGAAGGUUCAAUAGUUGCGGGGAGUUUGACAGCCGAAACAUUUAACUUCACAUCAUACUACUUUGCUCCAACUGUUCGUACGAGAAAAAGAGUUCCUAGGAGAUAUGAUGAUGGUGGAGUACCGACAUCAUAUCCAAUUGAUGGUGUUCCUGACAUUUUCUGCGAAAUUGGACGGUUUGGUGGUAAAACGAAAGAAGUAUGGUGGUCAUGUGAAGAAGAUAAACAUAGUGCCCACACUUAUAUUCUGCUCAACUGCGAGGAUGCAAUGACCCGUUACUUUGAAAGGUAAAUAUUUUUAUGAAUGUUAAUUAUAUGAAUUGAAGUUAAUUAUGUAUGAUUUGAUUAUUUGUUCAAUUUGCAGGAUGUUUGUAUCUCAAGUUGAAGAAGCAAUACGAAGAAUAUCUGCAACUGAUGUGGAUACACGUAAAGAUAAGCACUUUGUCAAGUGGUUAAAAUCACAGGUAAUAUAUCUCAUACUAUUAUAUUAAUUAAGUUAGUGUUUAAGAAUAUAUAUAUGCUUUUUGCAGGUUGAUUACGACGAUCCUUAUUAUCCCGUAUGGUUUCACGAAUUGGUUCAAGGUCCAGUUGCAAAGGUCACCACAUCACCUAUGUAUUUCACACGAGGAUUUACCUUUCACACAUACGAGUAUGGGAGACAUCGGGUAACGAGUAACUACGGAAUAUGUGUGAAAGGUGAAACAGACUUUUACGGGAUAUUGCAGGAGAUUAUUGAAGUGGAAUUUCCGGGGUUAUUGAAGCUAAAAUGCGUCCUCUUCAAAUGUGAAUGGUUCGAUCCUGUUGUGAACCGAGGGAUUCGGUAUAAAAAAUUUGGUGUUGUGGAUGUCAAUUUUGGGAGAAUAUACAACAAAUUUGAGCCUUUCAUUUUAGCUUCACAAGCCGAGCAAGUUAGCUUCCUUCCUUAUCCUCGGCUUCGAACUUCCGGGAUAAACUGGGUAACUGCUAUCAAAAUUACACCUCGUGAACGCAUUGUCGUUGGAGAAGAACCGCCCUUGCAAGAAGAAGACGCUAUCACUGAAGUUGAGGUACCAGAACAACCAACUGAUGAAAUCCUUUUGAUCGACCCGCAAAACUUUCAAUAUGAAGAUAUUCCCGAAGAUGCGACAGAUGAAACACGUGAAGACGAGUUCGAGAGAAGUGACGAUGAUGAUUGUAAUGAUAGUGAUGAGAACGGAAACGAUUUAGAGUGAUGUAAUAGUGAUGAGAACGAAAACGAUGUAGAGUGAUGUAAUAUAUGUAUCAAAUGUUGGAUUUCUCUAUUGUAACAUUUUCUAAAAGAAAGAGUAAGAAGUAGUAUGAAAUAAGAUAUGAUGUUAGAUGAUAUGUGACUUUGGGGUUUAGGGAUUUCAUUCUCGGUGUUUAGGGUUAAGCGUCGUAAAAUCGAUGUAAAAAUAACACAGAAGACGUAAUUUCGUCGUAAAUGGAAAAACGCGGGCCUGGUAAUUUCAUCGUAAAUCGAAAAACACGGGCCUGGUAAUUUCGUCGUAAAUGGAAAAACGCGGGCCUGGUAAAUUCGUCGUAAAUGGAAAAACGCGGGCCUGGUAAAUUCGUCGUAAAUUUACGUCGCUUUUACGACGAAUCCUAAUCUAUAUAAGGAGACGCCGAGAGCGAGGCUGCCUCGCUCAUUCCUCCCAAAUUCCUUUGCUCUCUCUAAGGUAAACUCUCUCUUCUCUCUCUCUUUUUUUUUUUAAAUUAGUUUAGGUGAUUAGUUAGGUAACGGAAUUAGUUUAGGUGAUUAGUUAGGUAACGGAAUUAGUUUAGGUGAUUAGUUAGGUAACGGAAUAAUAUUUUAAUUAUGUCGUAAUUGAUUAAAUUUAUUUUAAUUAUUUUUAGAUGGCUCCUAGAAGAAAAUCAGCAGCACCUAGUUAUAGAGAUUUGUUUGGCGAUGAUGGUUCCGGUACAUCUUCUUCCGGUCCAUCGUCUUCCGGUCCAUCAUCCUCCACCGCAGUUCCAGACUCUCAGCCUUCUCAGAGAGUUGCUUGGAGUCCUCCUCCACCGCAGAUGCCUCCACCGCAGAUGCCUCCACCUCCUCCUCCAGCGGCUGCACCUCAGCCUAUCCCAGAAGGUGCAGUUCAUCCGGAUCUGUGUGUGCCUUCAUAUGCCCCAUUCGCGAGAUAUAUGGUGGAGGAUUUGCUUGCCCGGCCUGGACGGGAGGGUUUGGAUGUUCUAGACCCCGAUAAACCCCCAUGAACAUAUUGGUAAGUUAUAAAUUUUUAUUACAUUAAAAUUUAAAUUAUUUUUAUUUUCUAACGGUUAAAUUGUUUUCCUUUCAGGUUUGGGGCUAACAACCGUGUUGGCCGGAGCGUUUCGAAAACGAUUAAGGGUUACUACGACGGGGCAUAUCCGAACUGGAGCAAGACUCCAAAUUACGUUAAGAUCACUUGGUUUAAAAUGUUUACGGUAAGAUUUUUAAAUUUAAUUAAAUUUUCAUUUUUAAAUAUGUAUAUAUUUUUUAAAUAUUAUUAUUAAUUAUUAAUUGUAAUUUCUUCAAAAUUUUUAAUUUUGUUUCAGCAAAAGUGGCAUUGGUCUUUGGGAAUCACCGA